UGGGUGAUUCCCCUCUAAUCAGGGCCUGAUUUAGACCUGGGACACCAGGUGGGUGAUUCCCCUCUAAUCAGGGACUGAUUUAGACCUGGGAUACCAGGUGGGUGAUUCCCCUCUAAUCAGGGCCUGAUUUAGACCUGGGACACCAGGUGGGUGAUUCCCCUCUAAUCAGGGACUGAUUUAGACCUGGGAUACCAGGUGGGUGAUUCCCCUCUAAUCAGGGCCUGAUUUAGACCUGGGACACCAGGUGGGUGAUUCCCCUCUAAUCAGGGCCUGAUUUAGACCUGGGACACCAGGUGGGUGAUUCCCCUCUAAUCAGGGCCUGAUUUAGACCUGGGCCACCAGGUGGGUGAUUCCCCUCUAAUCAGGGACUGAUUU
Long non-coding RNA from Oncorhynchus keta (chum salmon), 375 nucleotides. RefSeq lists it as uncharacterized. The record is from RefSeq and is a predicted model, not a curated record. NCBI's taxonomy places the organism in Eukaryota, Metazoa, Chordata, Actinopteri, Salmoniformes, Salmonidae. The transcript has 4 exons.